Molecule: ribosomal RNA, 305 nt
Filed under: uncultured bacterium
Lineage: Bacteria
Description: bacterial SSU rRNA
Rfam family: Bacterial small subunit ribosomal RNA
Source: RNAcentral
UGUCACCUACGGGGCGCAGCAGUGAGGAAUAUUGGUCAAUGGUCGGGAGACUGAACCAGCCAAGCCGCGUGAGGGAUGAAGGUACAGAGUAUCGUAAACCUCUUUUGUCAGGGAACAAAGGCGGGGACGUGUCCCCGGAUGAGUGUACCUGAAGAAAAAGCAUCGGCUAACUCCGUGCCAGCAGCCGCGGUAAUACGGAGGAUGCGAGCGUUAUCCGAAUUUAUUGGGUUUAAAGGGCGCGCAGGCGGUCUGUUAAGUCAGCGGUCAAAGCCCGGGGCUCAACCCCGGCCCGCCGUUGAAACAUG